This 187-nucleotide non-coding RNA is filed under the name Candidatus Omnitrophota bacterium. Its description in RNAcentral is "Candidatus Omnitrophica bacterium 6S RNA". It matches the Rfam family "6S / SsrS RNA". From Rfam's summary of the family: E. coli 6S RNA was the first non coding RNA to be sequenced, but its function was unknown until recently. It consists of 184 nucleotides that fold into an extended hairpin structure with a large single-stranded internal bulge. Lineage: Bacteria; Pseudomonadati; Candidatus Omnitrophota. The record is from RNAcentral.
AUGUCCCUGCUGUGUGCGUGUAGGUUGGAUGAAACAAGAACCAACAUUUCAACAUAGGGAGCCUAACUUUGAAUGUGGAGCGGCAUGCUCUUUCAACAAGGAGAAACCCGAAGCAUUUAAGAAGGCGCCCACCUGGUAAACGGGUUCUUAUGUUGUUAACCAGCCCCACGCCAGUAGCGGGGAUUUU